AAAUCAGCAUGAUUAAACCCGGUACAGAGGCUGCAAGUGCCCAUCCACCCCAACUUAAAUGGAUGCCCAUAAUGUCACUCAUCAUGGCAAGGGCGAGUGCAUUUGGCGCCAUUGCGGUCAAGAACAUAUAGCUGGUGGUUUUAGUCACCAUAUAAACGUUGACGAGGAGAUAAUGGCCUGCUUUACGUGGACUUUUUUCUGGAUCAGACCCUAAAGCAACGGCGACA
RNAcentral lists this non-coding RNA (227 nucleotides) under Providencia rettgeri. The record is from RNAcentral. Lineage: Bacteria; Pseudomonadati; Pseudomonadota; Gammaproteobacteria; Enterobacterales; Morganellaceae.